AUAUUUGGAAGACAUUUGAACACUGAGGCUCUCCUUUGUCCAUCAAUCUAUCCUUCACUCCAUGCUUCAGGGGAAGGAAUGGAAGAGGGAACCAAUAAUGGAAAAACUCCUUUCCACUGUCUCACUUUGAGAGAUGGAAGAAAGGGAAUCCAGGCCUACAAGGCAUAGUGAGUAGAAGCAGAGCAGGCAGGACUCGAGCACUAUGUGAGAUGGAGCACUGUUGUGAAAUGCAGUAAGAAGAGACAGAAUAGAUUAUCUAAAUGGUCUGCUCAAGGACAACAAUAUUUGACCACCACAUUUAACACUUAGAGCUGACAUUCCCCAUCUGCCACAAAGUAGGUAAAGCAAGUGAAGCAGCAGUUCAAGCUUCCUUUGCACUCUUCCAUCAAUGUGCCUCAAUAUGGAGGCAUCAUCGACAAAGCAAGAAGGUAGGAUAGUCAGCAUGUCCAUUAAACAUUAAUCCUGUCUCAUUAGAUUGUCUGGCAUCUUGUAGGCAAUGAGAGUUAUGUUGCCAAUAAGAACUGGAUUGAAACCAUCAUAUUUAUUUCACCUAUGUAACCA
Long non-coding RNA from Dermochelys coriacea (leatherback sea turtle), 561 nucleotides. RefSeq lists it as uncharacterized. NCBI's taxonomy places the organism in Eukaryota, Metazoa, Chordata, Testudines, Dermochelyidae. The transcript has 3 exons. The record is from RefSeq and is a predicted model, not a curated record.